Molecule: ribosomal RNA, 468 nt
Filed under: uncultured bacterium
Lineage: Bacteria
Description: partial 16S ribosomal RNA
Rfam family: Bacterial small subunit ribosomal RNA
Source: RNAcentral
GACGAACGCUGGCGGCGUGCUUAACACAUGCAAGUCGAACGGAAAGGCCCUGCUUUUGUGGGGUGCUCGAGUGGCGAACGGGUGAGUAACACGUGAGUAACCUGCCCUUUACUUUGGGAUAACUUCAGGAAACUGGGGCUAAUACCGGAUAGGAUCUCCUGCUGCAUGGUGGGGGUUGGAAAGUUUCGGCGGUUGGGGAUGGACUCGCGGCUUAUCAGCUUGUUGGUGGGGUAGUGGCUUACCAAGGCUUUGACGGGUAGCCGGCCUGAGAGGGUGACCGGACACAUGGGGACUGAGAGACGGACCAGAAUCGUACGGGAGGCAGCAGGGGGGAAUAGUGCAAAAUGGGAGGAAGCCUGAUGCAGCAACGCCGCGUGCGGGAUGACGGACUUCGGGUUGUAAAAAGAUGUAGACUGUGACGAAGAGUGAGUGACGGUAAUGGGUAAAGAAGCACCGGCUAACUACGUG